GUGGGGAAUCUUAGACAAUGGGCGCAAGCCUGAUCUAGCCAUGCCGCGUGAGCGAUGAAGGCCUUAGGGUUGUAAAGCUCUUUCAGUGGGGAAGAUAAUGACUGUACCCACAGAAGAAGCCCCGACUAACUCCGUGCCAGCAGCCGCGGUAAUACGGAGGGGGCUAGCGUUGUUCGGAAUUACUGGGCGUAAAGCGCACGUAGGCGGACUGGAAAGUCAGGGGUGAAAUCCCGGGGCUCAACCCCGGAACUGCCUUUGAAACUCCCAGUCUUGAGGUCGAGAGAGGUGAGUGGAAUUCCGAGUGUAGAGGUGAAAUUCGUAGAUAUUCGGAGGAACACCAGUGGCGAAGGCGGCUCACUGGCUCGAUACUGACGCUGAGGUGCGAAAGCGUGGGGAGCAAACAGGAUUAGAUACCCCAGUAGUCC
RNAcentral lists this ribosomal RNA (425 nucleotides) under uncultured bacterium. RNAcentral's name for it is "partial 16S ribosomal RNA". It matches the Rfam family "Bacterial small subunit ribosomal RNA", at positions 354 to 796 of the family's 1533-position model. The record is from RNAcentral.